Mercurialis annua (annual mercury) is the source of this 408-nucleotide long non-coding RNA. RefSeq lists it as uncharacterized. The record is from RefSeq and is a predicted model, not a curated record. Lineage: Eukaryota; Viridiplantae; Streptophyta; Magnoliopsida; Malpighiales; Euphorbiaceae. The transcript has 3 exons.
AUCCAACUCUCAGUUGGCAGCCAUCAUAUCAUUAAGAGUGGUGAACUUGUUUUUAGUGUCUUGGUUUCAAGGUUCCUAUUGGGUUCCGGUUCGCUCCAGAUCCGGCUAUCUCCGUUUCAAGGGGCAUGAUAUGUUGGCUCCUUUCACUGUUGGGUAGCAGUAUACUGAUUUGAAUCCUCUAGUUAUAGACAAGUUUGAGAGACCAAGUGUUCAAUGCCGAGAGAUGAAUAUAGGUGCAGCGGAGUCAGAAUUGAAUGAGAUUCUACAUUUUAAACUAUGGAAUCAACUUAAAAAUUUAGAGAAGGCAAAGGACCAAAAGCUGACAGAAAAUGAAAGAAAAUUGGAUUUAGCUUAAUGUAUAACUUUGGUAUUUUUAGUUUCAAUUUCUUUCAAACAAUACAUUCUAAU